GCCAAACAGGGGGAUUGCCUCAGUACGGCGAGUGAGCGGCAAAGAGCUCAAUUUGAAAUCUAGCACCUUCGGUGUUCGAGUUGUAAUUUGAAGAUGGUAACCUUGGGUUUGGCCCUUGUCUAUGUUCCUUGGAACAGGACGUCAUAGAGGGUGAGAAUCCCGUCUGAUGAGAUGCCCAUUCCUAUGUAAGGUGCUAUCGAAAAGUCGAGUUGUUUGGGAAGGCGGCUCUAAGGGGGGGGUAAAUUCCAUCUAAAGCUAAAUAUUGGCGAAAGACCGAUAGCGAACAAGUACAGGGAUGGAAAGAUGAAAAAAACUUUGAAAAGAAAGGGAAAAAGUACGUGAAAUUGUUGAAAGGAAAGGGCAUUAAAUCAAACUUGGUGUUUUACGAUUAUCUUCUCUUCUUGAGUUGUGCACUCGUAUUUCACUGGGCCAGCAUCGAUUCGGAUGGCAAGAUAAUGGCAGUUGAAUGUGCCUUCACUUCGGUGGAGUGUUAUAGCUUCUGCUGAUAUUGCCUGUCGGGAUCGAGGGCUGCGUCUUUUGACUAGGAUGCUGGCGUAAUGAUCUAAUGCCGCCCGUCUGAAAACACGGACC
RNAcentral lists this ribosomal RNA (591 nucleotides) under Hansenula anomala. Its description in RNAcentral is "eukaryotic LSU rRNA". It matches the Rfam family "Eukaryotic large subunit ribosomal RNA", at positions 56 to 667 of the family's 3401-position model. The record is from RNAcentral. Lineage: Eukaryota; Fungi; Ascomycota; Saccharomycetes; Phaffomycetales; Wickerhamomycetaceae.